RNAcentral lists this ribosomal RNA (1385 nucleotides) under uncultured bacterium. RNAcentral's name for it is "bacterial SSU rRNA". It matches the Rfam family "Bacterial small subunit ribosomal RNA", at positions 28 to 1381 of the family's 1533-position model. The record is from RNAcentral.
GACGAACGCUGGCGGCGUGCCUAAUACAUGCAAGUCGAGCGAGCGGAACUAACAGAUUUACUUCGGUAAUGACGUUAGGAAAGCGAGCGGCGGAUGGGUGAGUAACACGUGGGGAACCUGCCCCAUAGUCUGGGAUACCACUUGGAAGCAGGUGCUAAUACCGGAUAAGAAAGCAGAUCGCAUGAUCAGCUUUUAAAAGGCGGCGUAAGCUGUCGCUAUGGGAUGGCCCCGCGGUGCAUUAGCUAGUUGGUAAGGUAAAGGCUUACCAAGGCGAUGAUGCAUAGCCGAGUUGAGAGACUGAUCGGCCACAUUGGGACUGAGACACGGCCCAAACUCCUACGGGAGGCAGCAGUAGGGAAUCUUCCACAAUGGACGCAAGUCUGAUGGAGCAACGCCGCGUGAGUGAAGAAGGUUUUCGGAUCGUAAAGCUCUGUUGUUGGUGAAGAAGGAUAGAGGUAGUAACUGGCCUUUAUUUGACGGUAAUCAACCAGAAAGUCACGGCUAACUACGUGCCAGCAGCCGCGGUAAUACGUAGGUGGCAAACGUUGUCCGGAUUUAUUGGGCGUAAAGCGAGCGCAGGCGGAAGAAUAAGUCUGAUGUGAAAGCCCUCGGCUUAACCGAGGAACUGCAUCGGAAACUGUUUUUCUUGAGUGCAGAAGAGGAGAGUGGAACUCCAUGUGUAGCGGUGGAAUGCGUAGAUAUAUGGAAGAACACCAGUGGCGAAGGCGGCUCUCUGGUCUGCAACUGACGCUGAGGCUCGAAAGCAUGGGUAGCGAACAGGAUUAGAUACCCUGGUAGUCCAUGCCGUAAACGAUGAGUGCUAAGUGUUGGGAGGUUUCCGCCUCUCAGUGCUGCAGCUAACGCAUUAAGCACUCCGCCUGGGGAGUACGACCGCAAGGUUGAAACUCAAAGGAAUUGACGGGGGCCCGCACAAGCGGUGGAGCAUGUGGUUUAAUUCGAAGCAACGCGAAGAACCUUACCAGGUCUUGACAUCUAGUGCCAUUUGUAGAGAUACAAAGUUCCCUUCGGGGACGCUAAGACAGGUGGUGCAUGGCUGUCGUCAGCUCGUGUCGUGAGAUGUUGGGUUAAGUCCCGCAACGAGCGCAACCCUUGUUAUUAGUUGCCAGCAUUAAGUUGGGCACUCUAAUGAGACUGCCGGUGACAAACCGGAGGAAGGUGGGGAUGACGUCAAGUCAUCAUGCCCCUUAUGACCUGGGCUACACACGUGCUACAAUGGGCAGUACAACGAGAAGCGAGCCUGCGAAGGCAAGCGAAUCUCUGAAAGCUGUUUUCAGUUCGGACUGCAGUCUGCAACUCGACUGCACGAAGCUGGAAUCGCUAGUAAUCGCGGAUCAGCACGCCGCGGUGAAUACGUUCCCGGGCCU